This is a long non-coding RNA of Chinchilla lanigera (long-tailed chinchilla), 679 nucleotides long. RefSeq lists it as uncharacterized. The record is from RefSeq and is a predicted model, not a curated record. The transcript has 3 exons. Lineage: Eukaryota; Metazoa; Chordata; Mammalia; Rodentia; Chinchillidae.
GGCGGCCAAUCGGAGUGCCCGAGAGGUAGUGGGCGGAAGGCGCCGAGUGACUGACGAUUCUUAGAAGCAAUGGGCUACACGCUGCCGGCGCUGGGCGAGCAAAUCGUGGCGGUCCGGGAACGCAGGCCGCCUAAUGAGAUCACCCAUCCUCAGCUAUUUCAUGAUGGUCCGAGCUUCCCCCAGCCACGUACAGCCCCUGUGAUGCCUGCUGCCUGCGCGGGACCUUAUUGAACAUUAGACCUGACGCCUUUGCGCGCUGAACUACAUUCUCAGCGCCCCCCCACCACCACUUUUUAAAUUGAGACAGCUUGUUAGGUUGUCCAGCCUGGACUCGAACUUUCCAUCUUCCUGCUUCAGCCUCCCAGAGUGCCGGCAUUACAGCCGUGUGACAUCUUUGCUGUCCCACGAUGCGGACUUCAAGCCCACCCCAACCCCUUCAUCCCAGUUCCCUGGUCUCCAAAACCUCCGUCCUGGCUCAGGGUCGAUCCCUGGGCCCCAUGCGGUCCUCGCAUGCUGUCCCCAGCACAACUCCAAUCCCAGUGUCACCCCCGGGGCCGCCUCCACCUCCGCGCCCUCCUAAGCGCCAUCAAAGCCGCCUCCACCGUCGCCAGGCCCCCGCCCCGCUGUCCCCCAGGGCCCCGCGCUGUGCUGCACCCACACCUGCAUGUACACCUUGGCG